Molecule: ribosomal RNA, 336 nt
Filed under: uncultured bacterium
Lineage: Bacteria
Description: bacterial SSU rRNA
Rfam family: Bacterial small subunit ribosomal RNA
Source: RNAcentral
AAGUGGAGCAAUCCAUGAGUAAAGUGGCGACCGGGUGAGUAACACGUGACUAACCUACCCUCGAGUGGGGAAUAACCUCGGGAAACCGGGGCUAAUACCGCAUAAUGUCUUCGGACCAAAGGAGCAAUUCGCUGGAGGAGGGGGUCGCGGCCGAUUAGCUAGUUGGCGGGGUAACGGCCCACCAAGGCAAUGAUCGGUAGCCGGCCUGAGAGGGCGCACGGCCACACUGGAACUGAAACACGGUCCAGACUCCUACGGGAGGCAGCAGUGGGGAAUUUUGCGCAAUGGGGGAAACCCUGACGCAGCAACGCCGCGUGGAGGAUGAAGCCCUUUGGG